This 363-nucleotide ribosomal RNA is filed under the name uncultured bacterium. RNAcentral describes it as "bacterial SSU rRNA". It matches the Rfam family "Bacterial small subunit ribosomal RNA", at positions 796 to 1157 of the family's 1533-position model. The record is from RNAcentral.
CACGCCGUAAACGAUGAGUGCUAAGUGUUAGGGGGUUUCCGCCCCUUAGUGCUGCAGCUAACGCAUUAAGCACUCCGCCUGGGGAGUACGGCCGCAGGGCUGAAACUCAAAGGAAUUGACGGGGGCCCGCACAAGCGGUGGAGCAUGUGGUUUAAUUCGAAGCAACGCAAAAAACCUUACCAGGUCUUGACGUCCUCUGACACUCCUAAAAAUAGGACGUUCCCCUUCGGGGGACAGAGUGACAGGUGGUGUGUGUGUCGUCAGCUCGUGUCGUGAGAUGUUGGGUUAAGUCUCCCGACACGAGCAACCCCCGUGAUCAUUUACCACAGUUUUGCUGUGCACUCUCUAGGGAAACUGCCUGAU